RNAcentral lists this ribosomal RNA (443 nucleotides) under uncultured bacterium. RNAcentral describes it as "partial 16S ribosomal RNA". It matches the Rfam family "Bacterial small subunit ribosomal RNA", at positions 338 to 795 of the family's 1533-position model. The record is from RNAcentral.
CCUACGGGCGGCAGCAGUGGGGAAUAUUGGACAAUGGGGGGAACCCUGAUCCAGCGACGCCGCGUGAGUGAAGAAGUAUUUCGGUAUGUAAAGCUCUAUCAGCAGGGAAGAAAGAAAUGACGGUACCUGACUAAGAAGCCCCGGCUAACUACGUGCCAGCAGCCGCGGUAAUACGUAGGGGGCAAGCGUUAUCCGGAUUUACUGGGUGUAAAGGGAGCGUAGACGGUUACGCAAGUCUGGAGUGAAAGGCGGGGGCCCAACCCCCGGACUGCUUUGGAAACUGUAUAACUGGAGUACAGGAGAGGUAAGCGGAAUGCCUAGUGUAGCGGUGAAAUGCGUAGAUAUUAGGAGGAACACCAGUGGCGAAGGCGGCUUACUGGACUGUAACUGACGUUGAGGCUCGAAAGCGUGGGGAGCAAACAGGAUUAGAUACCCCUGUAGUC